This 558-nucleotide long non-coding RNA is filed under the name Trifolium pratense (red clover). RNAcentral describes it as "long non-coding RNA (TPRA_LNC011761)". The record is from RNAcentral. Lineage: Eukaryota; Viridiplantae; Streptophyta; Magnoliopsida; Fabales; Fabaceae.
AUAUCAUGCUAACACAAAUAGAAAAAAUGCAUGUGCCCAACGAAGAACUCAAUUUUGACUUGGUUUUGGCUUUGAUGAUUCUUCUUCUUGCUAUUUGGUGAAAUUAGUGAUUUACAUGCGGCUAUUUUUAAUUUUAUCUUACAUUGAUUUUUUCUGUACUAUUUAGUGAGAUUAACGCAAGUAUACGUGUUCCGCAUCAGCCAUUCAAAUAAAAAAAAAAGUGUUAUGUAUUAUAAUCUUUGUGUUAGCAUGAGAAUCAGUGAUGCAAAUCAAUAACCGUAUGAAAGUGUUCACUAAUAGUUACCUGAAACUUCGAAGCUAUUUGUGUUAGCAUGAUAUGCACUACCUCUACCUGAGUUAAUAAUAAAUUAAAUUAAGAAAGAUUAUAGGAAUAAAUUAGGAAAUAUUAUAUAUAGGAACAUUUUUCAAUUUACACAAGUAUGAUCACAUGAGGUUUUAUGUGAGAGAAUUUUAAUCUGAUACGUUAAUUAAAUCUAAGGGUUAUUAUCAAUAGUUCUCAUUUCUCAUAAUAUUUAUCAGUUCUCACCGGAUACAUUC